Molecule: ribosomal RNA, 423 nt
Filed under: uncultured bacterium
Lineage: Bacteria
Description: partial 16S ribosomal RNA
Rfam family: Bacterial small subunit ribosomal RNA
Source: RNAcentral
AUUUUAUACAAUGGGGGAAACCCUGAUCCAGCCAUCCCGCGUGUAUGAUGAAGGCNUUNNGGUUGNGNAGUACUUUUGGCAGANNNNNAAAGGUAUCCCCUAAUACGGGAUACUGCUGACGGUAUCUGCAGAAUAAGCACCGGCUAACUACGUGCCAGCCGCCGCGGUAAUACGUAGGGUGCAAGCGUUAAUCGGAAUUACUGGGCGUAAAGCGUGUGUAGGCGGUUCGGAAAGAAAGAUGUGAAAGCCCAGGGCUCAACCUUGGAACUGCAUUUUUAACUGCCGAGCUAGAGUAUGUCAGAGGGGGGUAGAAUUCCACGUGUAGCAGUGAAAUGCGUAGAUAUGUGGAGGAAUACCGAUGGCGAAGGCAGCCCCCUGGGAUAAUACUGACGCUCAGACACGAAAGCGUGGGGAGCAAACAGG